Molecule: ribosomal RNA, 374 nt
Filed under: uncultured Rhodoferax sp.
Lineage: Bacteria; Pseudomonadati; Pseudomonadota; Betaproteobacteria; Burkholderiales; Comamonadaceae
Description: bacterial SSU rRNA
Rfam family: Bacterial small subunit ribosomal RNA
Source: RNAcentral
AGAGGGGUGCUCGAAAGAGAGCCGUAACACAGGUGCUGCAUGGCUGUCGUCAGCUCGUGUCGUGAGAUGUUGGGUUAAGUCCCGCAACGAGCGCAACCCUUGUCAUUAGUUGCUACAUUCAGUUGGGCACUCUAAUGAGACUGCCGGUGACAAGCCGGAGGAAGGUGGGGAUGACGUCAAGUCCUCAUGGCCCUUAUAGGUGGGGCUACACACGUCAUACAAUGGCUGGUACAAAGGGUUGCCAACCCGCGAGGGGGAGCCAAUCCCAUAAAGCCAGUCGUAGUCCGGAUCGUAGUCUGCAACUCGACUACGUGAAGUCGGAAUCGCUAGUAAUCGUGGAUCAGAAUGUCACGGUGAAUACGUUCCCGGGUCUU